CAGUGGCGAACGGGUGAGUAACACGUGGGCAAUCUGCCCUGCACUCUGGGACAAGCCCUGGAAACGGGGUCUAAUACCGGAUAUGACCUUCCUCUGCAUGGGGGUUGGUGGAAAGCUCCGGCGGUGCAGGAUGAGCCCGCGGCCUAUCAGCUUGUUGGUGGGGUAAUGGCCUACCAAGGCGACGACGGGUAGCCGGCCUGAGAGGGCGACCGGCCACACUGGGACUGAGACACGGCCCAGACUCCUACGGGAGGCAGCAGUGGGGAAUAUUGCACAAUGGGCGCAAGCCUGAUGCAGCGACGCCGCGUGAGGGAUGACGGCCUUCGGGUUGUAAACCUCUUUCAGCAGGGAAGAAGCGCAAGUGACGGUACCUGCAGAAGAAGCACCGGCUAACUACGUGCCAGCAGCCGCGGUAAUACGUAGGGUGCGAGCGUUGUCCGGAAUUAUUGGGCGUAAAGAGCUCGUAGGCGGCCUGUCGCGUCGGAUGUGAAAGCCCGGGGCUUAACCCCGGGUCUGCAUUCGAUACGGGCAGGCUAGAGUGUGGUAGGGGA
Molecule: ribosomal RNA, 551 nt
Filed under: Streptomyces sp. 384B02
Lineage: Bacteria; Bacillati; Actinomycetota; Actinomycetes; Kitasatosporales; Streptomycetaceae
Description: bacterial SSU rRNA
Rfam family: Bacterial small subunit ribosomal RNA
Source: RNAcentral